UACGUAGGGGCCAAGCGUUGUCCGGAUUUAUUGGGCGUAAAGAGCUCGUAGGCGGUUCGGCAAGUCAGCUGUGAAAUCUCCACGCUCAACGUGGAGGGGUCAGCUGAUACUGCUGUGACUCGAGUCCGGUAGGGGAGUGUGGAAUUCCCGGUGUAGCGGUGAAAUGCGCAGAUAUCGGGAGGAACACCGGUGGCGAAGGCGGGUCUCUGGGCCGAUACUGACGCUGAGGAGCGAAAGCGUGGGGAGCGAACAGG
RNAcentral lists this ribosomal RNA (254 nucleotides) under uncultured bacterium. RNAcentral's name for it is "partial 16S ribosomal RNA". It matches the Rfam family "Bacterial small subunit ribosomal RNA", at positions 524 to 776 of the family's 1533-position model. The record is from RNAcentral.